CUACGGGUUGCACCAGUGGGGAAUAUUGCGCAAUGGGGGAAACCCUGACGCAGUGACGCCGUGUGAGUGAUGAAGGUUUUCGGAUCGUAAAGCUCUGUCAGACGGGAAGAAUAAGAACAGUAAAAAUAUUGCUGUUUGAUGACGGUACCGUCAGAGGAAGCACCGGCUAACUCCGUGCCAGCAGCCGCGGUAAUACGGAGGGUGCAAACGUUGUUCGGAAUUACUGGGCGUAAAGCGCAUGUAGGCGGAUAUGUAGGUCAGAUGUGAAAUCCCUUGGCUCAACCAAGGAAGUGCAUCUGAAACCCCAUAUCUUGAGUACGAGAGAGGGAAGUGGAAUUCCCAGUGUAGAGGUGAAAUUCAUAGAUAUUGGGAAGAACACCGGUGGCGAAGGCGGCUUUCUGGCUCGUAACUGACGCUGAGAUGCGAAAGCGUGGGGAGCAAACAGGAUUAGAUACCCCAGUAGUC
RNAcentral lists this ribosomal RNA (465 nucleotides) under uncultured bacterium. Its description in RNAcentral is "partial 16S ribosomal RNA". It matches the Rfam family "Bacterial small subunit ribosomal RNA", at positions 339 to 795 of the family's 1533-position model. The record is from RNAcentral.